AUUGUAUAGUACCCUAACCAAAUAAGGCCUAUGCCCCAAUAAAGCCUAUUUUGAAAAUUUCCCUCUUCCCGAUGUCAAAUGGUCGCCAAAGUUUGUAGAAGUGUGCAUGCACAUUACUUAACUAAUUUGAGCACAGCAAGCAACCCGUGCCGCGAUUAUGUUGGAACCUACAGACGAAAACAAUCACGACGUGGAGCGCACUUUAGUUUUUAUAAAAUUCGAGUAGCGUAAACUGUUAGUAUUUUUAUAUUUGUCAGUAUACGACGUGCCGUGUUUUGUCUGUAUGACAAUUAUACAUUUAGCCAUCUCCUCACAUUAGUGAAAUAGCUAUAAUAUCGGUGUAUUUCAUAUAAUCGUUGUUUUGCCUUAUUACGGUAUAGUUGUUUUUCAGUAAUUUCAAAGAAAACGGAUCACCAGCUUCUGUCAAAAAGAAAGCCAAUGGAUUUUGCAAAAGAUGGAAAACGCUGUUAAAAUGGUAGAAAGGGGUAAACGGGGUGAAUAGAUACAGAAAAGGGGUGAAUAGAUAUCGGGAAAUUCUUCAUAGUAUCUAUUCACCUUUCGAAUUUUAUACACCCUGUUUUACCCGGUAGGCUGCUGCAGCCAGAUAUAACAUCCAAAGAAGUACGCAUCAUCUAAAGAGUGGUUUCCACUACACGAAAGCUAGGUCGGUCGCUAAAUUAGCUACAGAACAAGAAGUUAUUCUCAUUCGUUUGACUGAUGCUGGGGUGCCGAUGACUUCAAAGAUGUUACUUGGGUAUUACAUGAUGAGAAACUCGUUUAGCCUGAUGUAUAAUGACAAAAAUUAAUUAAUAAGAUCUCAUUACAUUUAUUAUAAGCAUUGACAAAGUUUUGUUAUAAUUAAGAAGUUGAAUACUUACUAGUUUUUAUUGAGGCCUUAUUAAGACAUAGGGUUCCCAAUAAGGCCAAAGUGACACUUUAGUUAUUUGUGUUUAUAAAAUUGUAAAUUUUGUUUCUAAAGCCAUUUUGAUUCCAUUAUUACAAAGUUUAAUAAAUAAAUAUAAGAUUUUGAAAUUA
This is a long non-coding RNA of Spodoptera frugiperda (fall armyworm), 1035 nucleotides long. RefSeq lists it as uncharacterized. Lineage: Eukaryota; Metazoa; Arthropoda; Insecta; Lepidoptera; Noctuidae. The transcript has 2 exons. The record is from RefSeq and is a predicted model, not a curated record.